CCUACGGGGGGCAGCAGUAGGGAAUCUUCCACAAUGGGCGAAAGCCUGAUGGAGCAACGCCGCGUGUGUGAUGAAGGGUUUCGGCUCGUAAAACACUGUUGUAAGAGAAGAAUGACAUUGAGAGUAACUGCUCAAUGUGUGACGGUAUCUUACCAGAAAGGAACGGCUAAAUACGUGCCAGCAGCCGCGGUAAUACGUAUGUUCCAAGCGUUAUCCGGAUUUAUUGGGCGUAAAGCGAGCGCAGACGGUUAUUUAAGUCU
Molecule: ribosomal RNA, 260 nt
Filed under: uncultured Bacillota bacterium
Lineage: Bacteria; Bacillati; Bacillota
Description: uncultured Firmicutes bacterium partial 16S ribosomal RNA
Rfam family: Bacterial small subunit ribosomal RNA
Source: RNAcentral